This 423-nucleotide ribosomal RNA is filed under the name uncultured Actinomycetes bacterium. RNAcentral describes it as "bacterial SSU rRNA". It matches the Rfam family "Bacterial small subunit ribosomal RNA", at positions 983 to 1407 of the family's 1533-position model. Lineage: Bacteria; Bacillati; Actinomycetota; Actinomycetes. The record is from RNAcentral.
GACAUAUAGAGGAAACGUGCAGAAAUGUACGCCCCGCAAGGUCUCUAUACAGGUGGUGCAUGGUUGUCGUCAGCUCGUGUCGUGAGAUGUUGGCUUAAGUCCCGCAACGAGCGCAACCCUCGUCCUAUGUUGCCAGCACGUAAUGGUGGGAACUCAUGGGAGACUGCCGGGCUCAACUCGGAGGAAGGUGGGGAUGACGUCAAAUCAUCAUGCCCCUUAUGUCUUGGGCUUCACGCAUGCUACAAUGGCCAGUACAAAGGGCUGCAAUACCGUAAGGUGGAGCGAAUCCCAAAAAGCUGGUCUCAGUUCGGAUUGAGGUCUGCAACUCGACCUCAUGAAGUCGGAGUCGCUAGUAAUCGCAGAUCAGCAACGCUGCGGUGAAUACGUCCCCGGGCAUGGUACACACCGCCCGUCAAGUCACGA